GAUGAACGCUGGCGGCGUGCCUAAUACAUGCAAGUCGAGCGGACAGAUGAGGAGCUUGCUCCUCUGACGUUAGCGGCGGACGGGUGAGUAACACGUGGAUAACCUACCUAUAAGACUGGGAUAACUUCGGGAAACCGGAGCUAAUACCGGAUAAUAUAUUGAACCGCAUGGUUCAAUAGUGAAAGACGGUUUUGCUGUCACUUAUAGAUGGAUCCGCGCCGCAUUAGCUAGUUGGUAAGGUAACGGCUUACCAAGGCAACGAUGCGUAGCCGACCUGAGAGGGUGAUCGGCCACACUGGAACUGAGACACGGUCCAGACUCCUACGGGAGGCAGCAGUAGGGAAUCUUCCGCAAUGGGCGAAAGCUUGACGGAGCAACGCCGCGUGAGUGAUGAAGGUCUUCGGAUCGUAAAACUCUGUUAUUAGGGAAGAACAAAUGUGUAAGUAACUAUGCACGUCUUGACGGUACCUAAUCAGAAAGCCACGGCUAACUACGUG
Molecule: ribosomal RNA, 497 nt
Filed under: uncultured bacterium
Lineage: Bacteria
Description: partial 16S ribosomal RNA
Rfam family: Bacterial small subunit ribosomal RNA
Source: RNAcentral